RNAcentral lists this ribosomal RNA (465 nucleotides) under uncultured bacterium. RNAcentral describes it as "partial 16S ribosomal RNA". It matches the Rfam family "Bacterial small subunit ribosomal RNA", at positions 28 to 507 of the family's 1533-position model. The record is from RNAcentral.
GACGAACGCUGGCGGCGUGCUUAACUCAUGCAAGUCGAACGGAAAGGCCCCUUUGGGGGUACUCGAGUGGCGAACGGGUGAGUAACACGUGAGUAACCUGCCCUUGACUUCGGGAUAACUUCAGGAAACUGGGGCUAAUACCGGAUAGGAAUCCUUGCUGCAUGGUGGGGGUUGGAAAGCUUCGGCGGUUAUGGAUGGACUCGCGGCCUAUCAGCUUGUUGGUGGGGUAGUAGCUUACCAAGGCUUUGACGGGUAGCUGGCCUGAGAGGGCGACAGGCAACAUUGGGACUGAGAGACGGACCAGACUCCAACGGGGGGCAGCAGUGGGGAGUAUUGCACAAUGGGCAAAAGCCAGAUGCAGCACCGUCGCGUGCGGGAUGACGGCCUUCAGGUUGUAAACCGCUUUCAGCAGGGGCGAAGCUUGUGGUGACGUUACCUGAAGAAGAAGCACCGGCUAACUACGUG